AUGGGCACACGGCCGGGGAGCAGGCAAGUCUCGUUUCCUUCCCAAUCCUUGUCUCCAUCACUCUCCCCCGAUUCGGCCGCCGACCUCGCCGCUCCUCUAUCCCACCGCCGCCCGCCGCCUUCUCCUCCCUCCCAUCACCUUCUCUACGCCGGCAGGGGCUUCCACCUGUGGAUUGGGGAUCUGCACCGGCGAUGGGCUCCUCCUUCGCCCACGGCAGCGGCUCCGCCUUGCAGGGCCGGGGCGGGAGCGGGAGCGGGCCGUGCUUUGACCUGGCUCGUCAGCUCUGGCGUGGAGGAGGACCUCUUGUGCGCGGUGGCGGCUGGAGGAGGAGUUGGAUUCGCCAGCAACCGCGACAGAAUCAUCUCAGUAUGGACAUUGAGUAAUUUCAGCCAACUUGCCGUAUGUUUAAGCACUUUUGGCAGAAGGCUGGACUUUGGGCAUCGGCCAAAUCAUCCUGAGUACUUCUUGAGUUUUUUCUCUCAGCUGCGGAUUGUAAUUUAUUUGCUGCAGAAGACGGAUGCGAAGAUGUCGAGCAUGUGGCCCUGCACACAAGAGAAUACAUUACAAGAACAUGAAUUAAUCCUAGAUAACAUAUGUUGUUGGUCUGGCAGCUUACUGCCAGAAAAUUUGUGCUCUGAAGGGGUGCGAGGACUGCUAGGGAUGUACAGGAUAGUUGUAUGUAUGCACAGGUUCUUUCAAUGCUGCACCUGCUUCCUCUUCCUCUGCUUCGAAUCGGUCUUUCGUAGUUGGUUGUUCAAGCAGACACAGUGUGCACUGACAGAAGAUGGCAGGAAGAAUGGAAAAGUCCUUGCAGAAAAGAAGAACCGGAAGCAAGUUUUCUAUCUUCACGAGCAAGUCGGUGUCUGUAAAGCUUCGCCGGAGCCAUUCCAGCUCUUUGAGAGCCACAAGGCAAGGAAGCUGAGGAACCAGGACGCCAACGGUGCGGAGCAGUUUGCCAUCGAGAGGACUAGGCCAAGCUCAACAUCUCCCUCGUGCCUCCAUCAACACCGUGUCCCGCAGGGUCGUCACCGUCCGCGACGACAAGCUACUGUCGUAACUUUGUCAGCCGCACGGUUAGAGGGAGGCAUCAAGGGCCGGCCACCGCUGCCGGGGCCGACGUGCGUGCAAUUUCUAUUAAUGUAUCUCUUGUCGAUGUAUAUCGUUGUGGGCGUGGCAUUUCAGUUUCUUCCUCAGGUGAUGUUCCAAUAUAACAAGUUCCAUCAAGAAUUGCAUGUAUAUCUACCUUGCACCGCCCAGAUGCCCCUCAAGCGGCGCGCCACGGGCGUGCCCCAACUACUAGUUCAGUCGAGGACGACGCCGGCGGAGACCUUUGCUGCUCAUGCGCGCCAUCUCCGUGGAGAUGGUGCGGCGACGGAGGUCGCACCGGAGAAGGCGGCGUAUACUUGGGACGCCUGUCCCCUGCAACAUCGGCGAGGUUCAGGUGUGAUGCGGGCAGCAGUGCGGCAUCUCCAUCGACACCCGACGCGAGCAGGUUCUUGUGGUCGUAUGCAUCACCUGAAGUGGGGAAAAGGUUCAGAGAGCAGGAGGAACUGCAGGAGGAAGACGAGGAGAACCUUUGAAGGGGAAGAUGAUCUCUCCAUGGGUUAA
This 1608-nucleotide ribosomal RNA is filed under the name Triticum aestivum (bread wheat). RNAcentral describes it as "partial small subunit ribosomal RNA". Lineage: Eukaryota; Viridiplantae; Streptophyta; Magnoliopsida; Poales; Poaceae. The record is from RNAcentral.